AAGACAUGUCCCUUAGUUAGUGUCUCAUGUAAAACUAUAAAUACAUUCUAAAUAUAUCCAAUAAAGACGUGUCGUUUUCGUUUUAUAAGAGUACGAGUAAUACGUGUCAAGCAAGAAACAAAGAGAAAUAUAUAAACAUAGUAAAAUCUGUGUUGUCUGAUCCUUAACAACUUUGAGAGUUAAAAGAUCUACAAAGCACACACAAUUCCUUAUACUCAGGCUCCCUCUAGCUAUAUUCCUCUCGGCGCACAUGCUUCUCAGGCAUCCCCACCAACACAUACUUAUGCACCAGUGGCUGCGCCGGUCCAGGAACCCGCUACUGCUUACAACAGGUUUUCCUGAUCCUGUCGGUAUUGCUAGUCCAUUUGCUACUCAAGUUUAUUAGAGAUAUAUCUCUAAUAAAAUUUUAGCGUUUGGCUCGUGUCUGAAUAAUGUUUACAUGUUUAUGUUUUGGGUCUGUGAGUCAGUGACAUUAGAUUUACUUCUUCAGUUGCCUUAAAAAGUUCUUGGAUCUUAGAUAAUUAAAUGAUAUAUAUAACCAUUUUCUUUGUGUUGUGGUCUUUCUAAAAUUUAAUGGCUUUUGUUUUUUGUAUGUAGUGUACAUAUAGCAAAUUCUUACUUUGUAUGUUUCACGUAGACUAUUUUUUGAGAAACUCCCUACUUCUGAGAUGGUGGACUGGCCCAUGAUUUAUUAAUGUUGUUAUAACGUCCCGACCGUCCAUGGCUAAUGGGCCACCCACGCCCCCUCUCUCGGCCCGUGGGCUCUAUCCCAUCCGACGGUCGGUCCGUUAAUUUCUGAAGGCUCGAAAUCAUUGUUUAGUGACCCUGCAAUCACCACCCGACAUUUCCCCGUGCUUUAGCCUCACUCGCACGGUAUCGCGAAUCACUUUCCGAUAGGUCACCCAUCCUUUCACUACUCCAGCCCAAGCACACUUAACUCUAGAGUUCUAAACGGAUGUGUGACGGAAAAGGUAAGUCAAUUUUGGUGACAUAGAUAGCCAUGACAUAAAUAGCCAAAUCAAUUCUCUUAAGCCUUUUCAUAUAUCAACUCGGGAAGUUACAGUUGUACUAUCAACUAAGUGGAUAGCCAAGAGCAUAACAUGCUUAUCAAUGGGAUUGAGACAUGGGCGCCUCUUUUGUUAAAGGGAGCGGUCGUUGAUUUGAUUUUUCAUCUCUGAACAUUGCCAAAAAAAUGCAUGUUGGUCAUAUGAGAUCAACAAUCAUGGGUGACGCCAUAGCUCGGAUGCUAGAGUGCUCAAAUGUUGAAGUUCUACUUAUAAACCAUGUUGGUGACUGGGGACACAUGUACUCUUCUAAUGGUUUCGUUAACUUUGAAAACAGAGUGUUGUUGUAUCCCAAAUCUAGAUUCAAAGAGACUAAAGUUUGUGCUUAUUCAGUAGUUUGAAAUGUGAGUUGAGUACCUCUUUGAGAAGUUCUGUGAUUCAGAUCGUGCUGGUGAGAUAUCCACUGGUGACCUACAGGUCAGACGCUGACACCAGAGGAGAUAGUCCAAACAGCUGAGGUAGUUGGAUAUGGUCCGGUGACGUAACUAGUC
This is a long non-coding RNA of Brassica napus (rape), 1555 nucleotides long. RefSeq lists it as uncharacterized. The record is from RefSeq and is a predicted model, not a curated record. NCBI's taxonomy places the organism in Eukaryota, Viridiplantae, Streptophyta, Magnoliopsida, Brassicales, Brassicaceae. The transcript is spliced from 2 exons.